GUAGGUGGCAAGCGUUGUCCGGAAUUAUUGGGCGUAAAGCGCGCGCAGGCGGUCCUUUAAGUCUGAUGUGAAAGCCCACGGCUCAACCGUGGAGGGUCAUUGGAAACUGGGGGACUUGAGUACAGAAGAGGAAAGCGGAAUUCCAAGUGUAGCGGUGAAAUGCGUAGAGAUUUGGAGGAACACCAGUGGCGAAGGCGGCUUUCUGGUCUGUAACUGACGCUGAGGCGCGAAAGCGUGGGGAGCAAACAGGGAUUAGAUACCCUGGCAGUCCACGCCGUAAACGAUGAGUGCUAAGUGUUAGGGGGUUUCCGCCCCCUUAGUGCUGCAGCUAACGCAUUAAGCACUCCGCCUGGGGAGUACGGCCGCAAGGCUG
RNAcentral lists this ribosomal RNA (373 nucleotides) under uncultured organism. RNAcentral's name for it is "partial 16S ribosomal RNA". It matches the Rfam family "Bacterial small subunit ribosomal RNA", at positions 527 to 896 of the family's 1533-position model. The record is from RNAcentral.